Molecule: ribosomal RNA, 497 nt
Filed under: uncultured bacterium
Lineage: Bacteria
Description: partial 16S ribosomal RNA
Rfam family: Bacterial small subunit ribosomal RNA
Source: RNAcentral
GACGAACGCUGGCGGCGUGCCUAAUACAUGCAAGUUGAGCGAUGAAGAUUGGUGCUUGCACCAAUUUGAAGAGCAGCGAACGGGUGAGUAACGCGUGGGGAAUCUGCCUUUGAGCGGGGGACAACAUUUGGAAACGAAUGCUAAUACCGCAUAACAACUUUAAACAUAAGUUUUAAGUUUGAAAGAUGCAAUUGCAUCACUCAAAGAUGAUCCCGCGUUGUAUUAGCUAGUUGGUGAGGUAAAGGCGCACCAAGGCGAGGAUACAUAGCCGACCUGAGAGGGUGAUCGGCCACAUUGGGACUGAGACACGGCCCAAACUCCUACGGGAGGCAGCAGUAGGGAAUCUUCGGCAAUGGACGAAAGUCUGACCGAGCAACGCCGCGUGAGGGAAGAAGGUUUUCGGAUCGUAAAACUCUGUUGGUAGAGAAGAACGUUGGUGAGAGUGGAAAGCUCAUCAAGUGACGGUAACUACCCAGAAAGGGACGGCUAACUACGUG